AGAUGGCCAAGGAGGACUCAAGGUAAUGUUUCUGUCACAUACCCACACCAGAGCAUGUCAGUCUUUUUGAGGAUUGAACAGAGUCUCCAUAGCAGACAGGACAUUAAAUUCGGUGACCGUGCUAUGAAAAUAUGCAAAGGUGUUAUUCAUGACUGCAUAGAUCCCAGAGGAACACCAGGGAAUAUUUAGGAGGUCUCACAAAUACUCACCUAAGGGAAGUCAGAACACCCUCUCUCAACCACAGCAUGGCAGAGAGCAAAGCCAGACCAAGCUCCAACACACUGAUGAUCAGCAUCACUGAAAGGGCUCCCUAAAUUCAGGAAAAGAGAGGAAGUGGGUGAAGAGGACAAACUAAAUCAACAAAGCUGGUUUCCGCCACUUCUCAUCCCUCUUGGGCACCGAUCCUGACUAUAAUGUUCACUGAAUGUGGGAACAGAAAGAAACUGUGACCCCCAGAUAAUGAAAGUUGAGCUAAGACCAGUCUGAAAGCUACAGUUACAGCAACAGAAAAGUAAUUAACGUUCUGUAUAUUUGGGAGAGUGGUUUCGUCGGCUCUUCCUAACUAAAUCCCUAAGCUAUUGAGUUACGUGGCAUUCUCUCCCAUGACUUCCUGAAUCAACUUCUUGAGGAAUGUGUGAUGACUGAGGACUAGGUGCGUCUUUACAUCAUUCCAAGAGUUCAGCUUUCUUCUGCCCAGGACUAGUUUUUCACUGGAAGAAACUAAAGUAGGAAACUCUAAAUUCUUAGGUAAUACAAAUGAUGACUACUGAGACUUUCAGAAUUCCAACAUUCUGCUUUUCAGUUCAAAUUGUAUAUUCAGUUCUAGCAAAGCAUUUCUUUUAUGGAGAUAUAAAUAAAAGACUUUUGUCAUGUGAA
This 876-nucleotide long non-coding RNA is filed under the name Mus musculus (house mouse). RNAcentral describes it as "expressed sequence BE692007". The record is from RNAcentral. Lineage: Eukaryota; Metazoa; Chordata; Mammalia; Rodentia; Muridae.